Molecule: long non-coding RNA, 2900 nt
Filed under: Homo sapiens (human)
Lineage: Eukaryota; Metazoa; Chordata; Mammalia; Primates; Hominidae
Description: HSALNT0123885
Source: RNAcentral
UGCGCGGCCUCUCCGUCCAACGUGCUCGUUGCCGGCAUCUCCAGCGCCCGGCCGUGCCCCGACGGCCUGACCUGGAUCACUUCCUGGCCGCCUCCCUGUCCGGCGGCUCCCCUCGGUCCGGCUCCCACUUCCCCGUCCAGGAUGCUGGCUCCGAAGCAACAUCUGUGGUCGCGCGGGACCCAUCCCAGGACCUCCCCGGAACGCGCCGGGAUGGGACGCUCGGACCCAGACCACAGCCCCCGGCCGCGGCAGGGCGCCGGGAUUUGAUCCCGCGUCGCCCUGGGGGGACAGAAGCGUCCCGGAGUUGGGAGGGGAUUUGAAGCCUAUGGUCCUGACUUCCACCCCGUGGCUGAGGGCGAGGCUGCGGGGCCGGGGUUAGGAGCAGAAGUCCCUAUUUCCGAACCGUCUGGGAGGAGAGCCGGGGGAUGCCCAUCACGGCAGUUUAGGGAGAGAGAGGGAAGGACUCUGCCGCUUUGGAGGCUAGGUCAUAGGCAGCUGGCGGUGUCUCAGCGCGAGUGACCAAUCCUUGUGGUUGGGAAAUGUGUCGUGGGCGUCCGUGGGCUCGUUUUGCCUUUGAGAUUAAAUAGGAAAUUUUCCCAGGACGAGUUUACCGGAGCACCUUGGGAGUUGGUUUUUGGCUUGGAGAGCUACUUUCCCCUCUCUAAAUCUAAAACUGCUUUGUUUUUCCUUAUUAUUUUUUUCGAGAUGGGAUCUCACAAUGUUACCCAGGCAGGUGUCAAACUCCUGGCCUUAAGCGAUCCUCCCGCCUCGGCCUCCCAGAGUGCUGGGAUUAGAGACGUGAGCCAUUGCGCGGCUUUAACUGCUGUUAGUCUGUUCCUUAAAAUUGUUGUACCAGGAAACUUGCCAGAGAUGCAAGAAGAUGUGAUUAUAUUGUUAACAUUUAAUGAUAAAUAACAUUUUGCUUUUAAGAGUUACUGAUUCAUAUCCUCAAGAUUAAGAAAUGUUCAGGAUAUGAAUAUUUAAUGACCUUUCCAAUCAGUCAGUUUCUGCUCUCUAGAAGUUAGCCAGUUGAGGAGAAGGGACAGUCAAGAUACUUUCAGAACAGUGUGGUAAGGAGUGUGAGCUAAGAUGGAGCACCGAGGAAGGAGCCGGGCAUUUAGGCCAUGCUGUUGGGUGUGGAGCCUGGAAGGGAUCGGGGAAUACUUUCUGCAUGUGUCUUGAAGAAUGAGUAACAUUCAGACUAACAGGGUGGAGUGAGGGAGAGGGGGGAACCAAAGGAGGGGAGGCCAGUAACUACAAGGAGGUGCUUAUUUAUUUAUUUAUUUAUUUAUUUAUUGAGAGAGAGGGUCUCACUUUGUCACCCAGGCUGGAGUACAGUGACACGAUCACGAGUCACUGAAGUCUCAACUGCCUGGGCUCAAGUGAACCUCCCACCUCAACCUCCCGAGUAGCUGAGACUGCAAAUGGGUGCCGCCACACCCAGCUGAUUUUUAAAGAUUUUGUAAAGAUGUUGUCUUGCUGCGUUGCCCACGCUGGUCUUGAAUUCCUGGACUCAAGCCAUUCUCCCGCCUCAAGUGUCCCAAUGUGCUGAAAUUACAGGCAUCGGCUCCCGAGCCUGGAGGGUGGUUAUUAAAGAGAAAAAGUACAGGACAGAGAUACAGGAGCUUAGGCUUUAAUCUGAUGGUGACAGAACCAGGGAAGGGUUUUUAGCUGGGUCCUUAUGUGGUUAAAAUGGGUCUCCCUGGCUAGCUGCGGUGGCUUAUGCCUGUAAUCCCAGCACUUUGGGAGGCCGAGGCGGUUGGAUCACGAGGUCAGGAGUUCAAGACCAGCCUGACCAACAUGGUGAAACCCCGUCUCUACUAAAAACACAAAAAUUAGAUGGGCAUGAUGGCGCCUACCUGUAAUCCUAGCUACUCAGGAGGCUGAGGCAGGAGAAUUACUUGAACCCAGGAGGCGGAGGUUGUCUGAACCGAGGUUGCACCAGUGCACUCCAGCCUGGGCAACAGUGCAAGACUUCGUCUCAAACAAAACAAAACAAAACAAAACAAAAACAAGAAAAGGUCUCUAUCUGUCGUCCAGGUUGGAAUGCAAUGGCAGGAACACAGCUAACUGCAACCUCUACCACCCAGGCUUAAGUGAUUCUCUUGUCUCAGCCUCCCAAGUAGCUGGGAACACAGGCUUCCCACCUAGUAAUUUAGCCUGAUUGGCUAAAUUUUUUGUUUGUUUGUUUUUGAUACUGAGUCUCACUCUGUCAGCCAGGCUGGAGUGCAGUGGCCUGAUCUUGGCUCACUGCAAGCUCCGCCUCCAGGGUUCAUGCCAUUCUCCUGCUUCAGUCUCCCGAGUAGCUGGGACUGCAGGCACCCGCCACCAUGCCUGGCUAAUUUUUUGUAUUUUUAGUAGGGACGGGGGUUUCACCAUGUUAGCCAGGAUGGUCUCGAUCUCCUGACCUCGUGGUCUGCCCGCUUCGGCCUUCCAAAGUGUUGGGAUUACAGGCGUGAGCCACUGUAUCUGGCCUAAAUUUUUUUGUAGAGAUGGAAUCCCUAUAUGUUUCCCAGGGUGGUCUCCAACCCCUGGCCUCAAGUGAUUCUCUAGCCUUGGACUCCCAAAGUGUUGGGAUUACAAACAUGAGCCACUGCACCCGGCCUUAAAAUGGAAUUUUAUGUAGCUCUUACGUACAGGCUGCUAUAUAGCUGAUAAGGACAAAUGUUUUCAGUAUAGUGCUGGAUUAUUUGCUUUUUUUUUUUUUUUUUUUUGAGAUGGAGUCUUGCUCUGUCGCUGGGCUAGAGUGCAGUGGUUUGAUCUUGGCCACUACAACCUCCACCUCCUGGGUUCAAGUGAUUCGCCUGCCUCAGCCUUCUGAGUACCUGGGAAUAUAGGCACUCGCCACCAUGCCCAGCUAAUUACUUCUGUCUUGUAUUUUAAUCUUCUCUGCUCUUUAG